GGUGGACUGCUCUGAAGCCUCCUCCUGCCCUGCCCCCUUCUUCCCUCCCUUCCCAACUCAUCUCUCAAACUGCAUUGAAAACACCGAGGUGAGUGACAGUGAAGGCUAACUAGGAGAUGCAGCUUAGGGGGAAUUUAAUCCAAUUCAGUUGGAGAGACAUGCAUCUCCCUGUACCAUGAAAUUCCAUUUUGAUCUCAGCAUGUGCUGAUGGAGUAAUGAAAUAAAGACAACACUCUGCAAAUGGCUGGAUACAUUAAGUGAGAAGCAACUUGUAAAGCACCCAGGAAAAUAUCUGACACAUUGUGAUGCGACCUGAACAUUUCUGGUUCUACAGAGGACCCCUGCCGUUGGCCUAUCUCUUAACAGAUGUUUGCUGGGUGCUGGCCAUGUGUCAGGCACUAUGCUAGGUGCUGGGAGGAUUCCGAAACAAGAAAGCAUGCAAGAUUCCUGCCCUCCUGGGCCUUAAAGGAAAGUAGGGAAGCCAAACAUUAAAUAAAUAAUUAUACCAAUAAGUAUCUAAUUACAAGUUUUAUAAGUGUUAAUAACAAAAAUUGCAGGGUUUGCUACAAAGCAUGUAACUGAGGACCUAAUCUUGUAUUAGGGGCCAGCCAAAGUAGUUCUUUGAGGAGAUACAUUUAAUCUGACACCUGAUGGAUGAGUAAUAGUCACUAAAAUAAAAGCCAAAUAAAGAAUUUUAUACACUCCCAAAAGAGAUAUUUUACAGCUUUACAAGGCUCAAAUCCAACUAAUUCACCCCUGUCUCUGGGUAGUACUGGAUGUUCUAUUUUACCACUUAUGAGACAAUGCUUUGGAAAGCCAAAAACUAGGCAGUCACACUUGGUAUCUACCCUUCAUCCUUCCUGCGACAGUUUGAAGUGAGAGUUGAGUGUUCUGGAUGAUGAAUCUAAUUGCAACUUAUUCUGUGCUAAAACAUAGUUAUGGUCAAGGUAAAAUUACUAACCUUUGGAGAUAUUCAUAUUUAAGUACCCUCCAUGAACACUUGGGAGCAUCCAAAACAUCAAUGAAAAAGACAUCCACUCAGGAGAAACAAUCUGAUGGCCUCUUCAGAGUUUCAUGGAGCAGCAAGGACGAGAACUAAUAUAAAAUCCACUUGCAUCCAAUGAAAGCUAUCCACCCACAAGACAUACCAGUUAUGAUCUUCCUGGAGAGUGGUGUAGCAUCAUGAAUCUAAAACCUUAGAGAAGCUUACACAUGACCACUACACCUCCAGAAAUUACGCUUAUGGAAAGGAGCAGGCACAUGUAUAAAAUGCAUAAGGUUAGCUGCUGCUGUCUUGUAAUAUAGAGGAAAGCUGCCAAUAAAUGCAAGUGGUCAAAACUAAACCCUCAGCUCCAUGGUGCUCAAUGAUGGUAUCUUGGCAUUUGAGAUGGGUCCAUUCUCCUUUGCACAGGAUCAUCUGGUACUUUUUGGGAUGCUUAGCAUCUCAAGGACCCAUGCAUAGGCUAGUGGAGUCCCCUAGUCAUUUAGACAGUAAUUGCCCUCUCCCAAACAUACAUUUCCAAAUGCCCUCUAGAGGCAGUGGUACCACUCCAGGUUAGAACCUACCAAUAGAAAACUAUCGAACCAUUACAAAGGAUAAUCCAGAUCGAAAUAUACUGAUGCAGAAAAAUGUUCACAAUAUAAGGCCUAGAAAAGACAGCUCAAGAUAAGUGGAGAGCGUCAUCACAUUUUUGUCCAAAUCAAAGCAGAAAUAUACUCCUACACACAUAGAAACUUGAAUAUACAGGCUGAUAUGGUUUGGCUGUGUCCCCACCCAAAUCUCAUCCUGCAUUCCCAUGUGUUGUGGGAGGUACCCAGUGGGAGGUAAUUGAAUCAUUGGGGCAGGUCUUUCCCAUGAUGGCCUCGUGAUAGUAAGUCUCACGAGAUCUGAUGGUUACUAUAAGGAGGAGUUUUCCUGCAAAAGCUCUCUUUGCUUGCUGCCGUCCAUGUAAGACAUGACUUGCUCCUCCUUGCUUUCUGCCAUCACUGUGAGACUUCCCCAGCCAUGUGGAACUGUAAGUCCAGUUAAAUCUCUUUCCUUUGUAAAUUGUCCAGUCUUGGGUAUGUCUUUAUCAGUAGUGUGAAAACAGACUAAUGCACAGGCAAAAAGGUUGAAACACAAUUUUCCUUGGUUGGUGGAAUUGUGAGUGAUUUUUAUUUGCUUUCCUGGAUGUCUCACAUUUUUUCUUUUCUUUUUUAAUGAACAAGUCUCCCUUUUAUAAAAGAGGAAAAAGUUCUUUUUGGUUUAGAGAACAAAAAGCUGACCCUCCACAGCCAGCUGGUCAUGCAGCUCCAAUUCUCAUUUUGAUUUAGUGAAGAUGGCAGGAUCUGCCUCAGGGAUCUGCUCAAGCAACGUGGGAUCCCCACUUUUUCACUCUGCUGAAUACUCGACCAUAUUACAAGGCAACAACUGUUCUAAGCUGGAACUAGAGCAUGGUAGGUGCUCAAUAAAUGUUUGCUAAAUUGAGUCAUCCUUUUUUGUCUUGAUUGGGCCAGAAUUCUGCUGAGAUGUCCUCCAGUUUUUAACAUCACUUCCACCCAGUGAUCCUCCUAUUCCCCAGGAACAUUGGGUAACGUCUGGAGACAUGUUUGGUUACCUCAAAUGGGAAGUGCUUUUGGUAUCCAGUGGGUAGAGGCCAAGGAUGCUGCUAAGCAUCCUACACAAUGCAGAGGACAGUCACCACAGAAAAGAAUUAUCCUGUCCAAAAUGUCAACAGUGCUGAGGCUGAGAAAUCCUCUUCAUCAUCUGCCCUUCUUAUAGCUUGUUAAUUAUUUUCUAAGUUCCUAUUUUAAUAUUAUCUACUGUAAAUGUAUCAUCCUAGCACCUCAAAGAGAUACGGUAUACACUAUUCACUGUUUGAGUUUGAAAUGAAAUUGAAGCCUUAAGAAUGUCUUCAGACCAGGCGUGGUGGCCCAUCCUGUAAUCUCAGCACUUUGGGAGCAUUGCUUGAGGUCAGGAGUUCAAGACCAG
RNAcentral lists this long non-coding RNA (2971 nucleotides) under Homo sapiens (human). Its description in RNAcentral is "HSALNT0055515". The record is from RNAcentral. Lineage: Eukaryota; Metazoa; Chordata; Mammalia; Primates; Hominidae.